UACGUAGGGUGCGAGCGUUAAUCGGAAUUACUGGGCGUAAAGUGUGCGCAGGUGGCUUCGCAAGUCGAGUGUGAAAUCCCCGGGCUUAACCUGGGAAUUGCGCUCGAAACUACGGAGCUGGAGUAUGGCAGAGGGAGGUGGAAUUCCACGUGUAGCGGUGAAAUGCGUAGAGACGUGGAGGAACACCAAUGGCGAAGGCAGCCUCCUGGGCCAAUACUGACACUGAUGAGCGAAAGCCAGGGGAGCAAACGGG
Molecule: ribosomal RNA, 253 nt
Filed under: uncultured bacterium
Lineage: Bacteria
Description: partial 16S ribosomal RNA
Rfam family: Bacterial small subunit ribosomal RNA
Source: RNAcentral